Molecule: ribosomal RNA, 774 nt
Filed under: uncultured Neocallimastigales
Lineage: Eukaryota; Fungi; Neocallimastigomycota; Neocallimastigomycetes; Neocallimastigales
Description: partial large subunit ribosomal RNA
Rfam family: Eukaryotic large subunit ribosomal RNA
Source: RNAcentral
AGAGAGAGACAUGCGCGCAUAUCAAUAAGCGGAGGAAAAGAAACUAACAAGGAUUCCCCUAGUAACGGCGAGUGAAGCGGGAAGAGCUCAAAUUUGAAAUCUUAAAGGUUUUCCCUUGACGAAUUGUAGUUUAAAGAAGUGUUUUCUGUUGAGGUUUUGGUAAAAGUUCUUUGGAAUAGGACAUCAUAGAGGGUGAGAAUCCCGUAUUUGACCUUUACUUUCAACUUUGUGAUACACUUUCAAAGAGUCGGAUUGUUUGGGAAUGCAGUCCAAAAUGGGUGGUAAAUUUCAUCUAAAGCUAAAUAUUGGCGAGAGACCGAUAGCGAACAAGUACCGUGAGGGAAAGAUGAAAAGAACUUUGAAAAGAGAGUUAAACAGUACGUGAAAUUGUCAAAAGGGAAGCGUUUGACACCAGUGUUGUUUUUCUGAAAAUCAAUUAAAGAACUGUUUAUGCUAAGUUGUUUAGACUUUAUCAGCUAACUGUUUAGUUUUGAGCUUUUCUUUAAUGCACUUUUCAGUUAACAAGUCAACAUCAAUUUCUUUUGCUGUAAAAGAGCUUGAGGAAGGUGGCUUGAGAUUCGUCUUAAGUGUUUAUAGCCUCUUGCCUAUGCAGUCGGAGAGAUUGAGGUCUGCAGCGUAGAUCCUUCGGGGCUAAAUGCAUUUGUGCUAAGUUAUAGCAUUUUAUAGACAACUUGUUGACUAUGAUUUGUCUUGUAGCUUACUCGCUUAUGUUAUUUUACCUACGCUUAGGAUGUUGAGCGCAUGUCUCUCUCU